This 253-nucleotide ribosomal RNA is filed under the name uncultured bacterium. RNAcentral's name for it is "partial 16S ribosomal RNA". It matches the Rfam family "Bacterial small subunit ribosomal RNA", at positions 524 to 776 of the family's 1533-position model. The record is from RNAcentral.
AACGUAGGAGACGAGCGUUAUCCGGAUUUACUGGGCGUAAAGCGUGUGCAGGCGGUUCGGCAAGUUGGAUGUGAAAUCUCCCGGCUCAACUGGGAGGGGUCGUUCAAUACUACCGAACUUGAGGUCAUCAGAGGAAGAUGGAAUUCCCGGUGUAGUGGUGAAAUGCGUAGAUAUCGGGAGGAACACCAGUGGCGAAGGCGACACGCUGGGCCGUACCUGACGCUAAAGCGCGACAGCAUGGGGAGCAAACGGG